UUACGGGGUGCAGCAGGCGCGAAACCUUUACACUGCACGACAGUGCGAUAAGGGAAUCCCAAGUGCGUAGGCAUAGAGCCUACGCUUUUGUCCACCGUAGGGAGGUGGACGAAUAAGGGCUGGGCAAGACCGGUGCCAGCCGCCGCGGUAAUACCGGCAGCCCGAGUGAUGGCCGAUCUUAUUGGGCCUAAAGCGUCCGUAGCUGGCCGCACAAGUCCAUCGGAAAAUCCACCCGCUCAACGGGUGGGCGUCCGGUGGAAACUGUGUGGCUUGGGACCGGAAGGCGCGACGGGUACGUCCGGGGUAGGAGUGAAAUCCUGUAAUCCUGGACGGACCGCCGAUGGCGAAAGCACGUCGCGAAGACGGAUCCGACAGUGAGGGACGAAAGCUAGGGUCUCGAACCGGAUUAGAUACCCGGGUAGUCCUAGCCGUAAACAAUGCCUGCUAGGUGUGGCUCCCACUACGAGUGGGUGCUGUGCCGUAGGGAAGCCGCUAAGCAGGCCGCCUGGGAAGUACGUCCGCAAGGAUGAAACUUAAAGGAAUUGGCGGGGGAGCACAA
Molecule: ribosomal RNA, 559 nt
Filed under: uncultured archaeon
Lineage: Archaea
Description: bacterial SSU rRNA
Rfam family: Archaeal small subunit ribosomal RNA
Source: RNAcentral